RNAcentral lists this ribosomal RNA (2658 nucleotides) under Triticum aestivum (bread wheat). Its description in RNAcentral is "partial small subunit ribosomal RNA". The record is from RNAcentral. Lineage: Eukaryota; Viridiplantae; Streptophyta; Magnoliopsida; Poales; Poaceae.
GCUUAUAAUCGUUCAUUGCAUUCUACUAAUAAGAUGUGCCCUUUUGAAGUUGUGUAUGGUUUCCUACCUCGUGCACCUAUUGAUUUGUUGCCUCUUCCAUCUUCGGAGAAGGAAACAGACCCUCGUGGUCAGGUUGAUCGUGCCCCGAUUGACUUAAUUCCCGGUGCUUCACUGCCAAACCGUGCACCAUACCGUACCAAUCCAGAGGAGACGAAGGAGAUUAUGCGUCAAGUACAAGAGCUUCUCGACAAAGGUUAUAUACGCGAAUCCCUUAGUCCUUGUGCUGUUCCUAUUAUUCUAGUGCCGAAAAAGGAUGGUACAUCACGUAUGUGUGUUGAUUGUAGAGGCAUUAAUAAUAUUACUAUUCGUUAUCGUCAUCCUAUUCCUAGGCUAGAUGAUAUGCUUAAUGAAUUGAGUGGCUCUACAAUAUUCUCCAAAGUUGAUUUGCGUAGUGGCUACCAUCAAAUUCGUAUGAAAUUGGGAGAUGAAUGGAAAACAGCAUUUAAAACUAAGUUUGGAUUAUAUGAGUGGUUAGUCAUGCCUUUUGGGUUAACUAAUGCACCUAGUACUUUCAUGAGAUUAAUGAACGAAGUUUUACGUGCUUUCAUUGGACGAUUUGUGGUAGUUUACUUUGAUGACAUAUUGAUUUAUAGCAGAUCUUUGGAAGAACAUUUGGAACAUUUACGUGCUGUUUUUAUUGCUCUACGUGAUGCACGUUUGUUUGGUAACCUUGGGAAGUGCACCUUUUGCACCGACCGAGUAUCUUUUCUUGGCUAUGUUGUUACUCCACAGGGAAUUGAAGUUGAUAAAGCCAAGAUUGAAUCUAUUGAGAGUUGGCCGCAGCCCAAAACGGUCACACAAGUGAGGAGUUUUCUUGGCCUCGCUGGAUUCUAUAGGCGUUUUGUGAGAGAUUUCAGCACCAUUGCUGCACCUCUCAAUGAGCUUACAAAGAAAGAUGUGCCUUUUCUUUGGGGUACCGCACAGGAAGAAGCCUUCACGGUAUUGAAAGAUAAGUUGACACAUGCUCCUUUACUCCAACUUCCUGAUUUUAAUAAGACUUUUGAGCUUGAAUGUGAUGCUAGUGGAAUUGGAUUAGGCGGUGUGUUAUUACAAGAUGGCAAACCUGUUGCAUACUUUUCUGAAAAAUUGAGUGGGCCUAGUCUGAAUUAUUCUACUUAUGAUAAAGAAUUAUAUGCUCUUGUUCGGACUUUAGAAACAUGGCAACAUUAUUUAUGGCCCAAAGAAUUUGUUAUACAUUCUGAUCAUGAACCUUUGAAACAUAUUAAAAGUCAAGCUAAACUGAACCGUAGACAUGCUAAAUGGGUUGAAUUCAUUGAGACUUUUCCUUAUGUCAUUAAACACAAGAAGGGAAAAGAAAAUGUUAUUGCUGAUGCAUUGUCUCGCCGCUAUACUAUGCUUUCACAACUUGACUUCAAAAUAUUUGGUUUGGAAACCAUCAAAGAUCAAUAUGUGCAUGAUGCUGAUUUUAAAGAUGUAAUGCAGAAUUGUAAAGAAGGAAGAAUGUGGAACAAGUUUGUUGUUAACGAUGGAUUUGUGUUUCGUGCUAACAAGCUAUGCAUUCCAGCUAGCUCCGUUCGUCUUUUGUUGUUGCAGGAGGCGCAUGGAGGAGGAUUAAUGGGACACUUUGGCGUGAAGAAGACGGAGGACAUACUUGCUACACAUUUCUUUUGGCCAAAGAUGAGACGGGAUGUUGAGCGUUUUAUUGCUCGCUGCACUACAUGUCAAAAAGCUAAGUCACGACUCAAUCCUCAUGGUUUAUAUAUGCCUUUGCCUGUACCUAGUGUUCCUUGGGAGGAUAUAUCUAUGGACUUUGUUUUAGGUUUACCUCGAACAAAGAAGGGGAGGGAUAUCAUAUUUGUUGUCGUGGAUAGAUUCUCGAAAAUGGCACACUUUAUACCAUGUCAUAAAAGCGAUGAUGCUGUUAAUGUUGCUGAUUUGUUCUUUCGUGAAAUUAUUCGCUUGCAUGGUGUGCCAAAUACUAUUGUUUCAGAUCGUGAUACUAAAUUUCUUAGCCACUUUUGGAGAUGUUUAUGGGCUAAGUUGGGGACUAAACUGCUUUUUAGUACUACUUGUCACCCCCAAACUGAUGGACAAACUGAAGUAGUCAAUAGAACGUUGUCUACUAUGCUUAGGGCUGUUUUGAAGAAUAAUAAGAAAAUGUGGGAGGAAUGCUUGCCUCAUAUUGAAUUUGCUUAUAAUCGUUCAUUGCAUUCUACUACUAAGAUGUGCCCUUUUGAAGUUGUGUAUGGCUUCCUACCUCGUGCACCUAUUGAUUUGUUGCCUCUUCCAUCUUCGGAGAAGGUUAAUUUUGAUGCUAAACAACGUGCUGAAUUGAUUUUAAAAAUGCAUGAGUUAACUAAGGAAAACAUUGAGCGCAUGAAUGCUAAAUAUAAACUUGCUGGAGAUAAGGGUAGAAAACAUGUUGUGUUUGCACCUGGAGAUCUUGUUUGGUUACAUUUGCGUAAGGAUAGAUUUCCUGAUUUGCGCAAAUCAAAGCUAAUGCCACGUGCUGAUGGUCCCUUUAAGGUGUUAGAGAAAAUAAAUGAUAAUGCAUAUAAACUUGAGCUGCCUGCAGAUUUUGGGGUUAGUCCCACUUUUAACAUUGCAGAUUUGAAGCCUUAUUUGGGUGAGGAAGAU